GAUUAACGCUGGCGGUAUGCCUAACACAUGCAAGUCGAACGGAAUACUCGAAAAGAGAAUCUCACACUAGUGAGAGGUUCUCCAACCGAGUAUUUAGUGGCGGACGGGUGAGUAACACGUUGGAACCUGCCCCGAAGUGGGGAAUAACUGCUCGAAAGAGUAGCUAAUACCCCAUAGUAUCCGGUUUAUCCGGAUUAAAGAUUUAUCGCUUCGGGAGGGGCCUGCGUCUGAUUAGCUUGUUGGUGGGGUAAAAGCUCACCAAGGCGACGAUCAGUAGCUGGUUCGAGAGGAUGACCAGCCACACUGGGACUGAGAUACGGCCCAGACUCCUACGGGAGGCAGCAGUGAGGAAUCUUCCACAAUGGACGAAAGUCUGAUGGAGCAAUACCGCGUGCAGGACGACGCUUUUCGGAGUGUAAACUGCUUUUGUCGUCGAAGAUUAUGACUGUAGACGAAGAAUAAGGACCGGCUAACUACGUGCCAGCAGCCGCGGUAAUUGCGACGA
RNAcentral lists this ribosomal RNA (505 nucleotides) under uncultured bacterium. RNAcentral describes it as "bacterial SSU rRNA". It matches the Rfam family "Bacterial small subunit ribosomal RNA", at positions 28 to 531 of the family's 1533-position model. The record is from RNAcentral.